GAUGAACGCUGGCGGCGUGCUUAACACAUGCAAGUCGAACGAUUAAGCCCAGCUUGCUGGUUGGUUUAGUGGCGAACGGGUGAGUAACACGUGAGCAACCUGCUCCUGACUCUGGGAUAAGCGCUGGAAACGGCGCUUAUUACUCGAUAUGUCUCGUCACCGCAUGGUGUGCGGGUGGAAACAUUUUUCGGUUGGGGAUCGUCGCGCGGCCUAUCAGCUUGUUGGUGGAGUAAUCGCUCACGAAGGCGUUGCCGGGUAGCCGGCCUGGGAGGGUGACCCGGCACACGGGUACUAAGGGACGGACCAGAGGCCAAUGGGAGGCAGCGGGGGGGAAUAUUGCACAAUGGGGGGGAGCGUGAUGAAGAAACGCCGGGUGUGGGAUGACGGCCUUCGGGUGGUAAACCUCUGUUAGCAGGGACGAAGCGAAAGUGACGGUACCUGCAGAAUAAGCACCGGCUAACUACGUG
This 467-nucleotide ribosomal RNA is filed under the name uncultured bacterium. RNAcentral's name for it is "partial 16S ribosomal RNA". It matches the Rfam family "Bacterial small subunit ribosomal RNA", at positions 28 to 507 of the family's 1533-position model. The record is from RNAcentral.